RNAcentral lists this ribosomal RNA (114 nucleotides) under Candidatus Pacearchaeota archaeon. Lineage: Archaea; Nanobdellati. The record is from RNAcentral.
GGAGACGACCAUACUAGUCAGGAAACACCUGUUCUCUUUCCGACCACAGAAGUUAAGCUGAUUGGGUUGUAGGAAUAGUUCCAGAAAUGGAGUGAAACCUAUAAGUUGUCUCUC